This 87-nucleotide ribosomal RNA is filed under the name Trillium underwoodii. RNAcentral describes it as "partial 5.8S ribosomal RNA". It matches the Rfam family "5.8S ribosomal RNA", at positions 73 to 154 of the family's 154-position model. From Rfam's summary of the family: 5.8S ribosomal RNA (5.8S rRNA) is a component of the large subunit of the eukaryotic ribosome. It is transcribed by RNA polymerase I as part of the 45S precursor that also contains 18S and 28S rRNA. Lineage: Eukaryota; Viridiplantae; Streptophyta; Magnoliopsida; Liliales; Melanthiaceae. The record is from RNAcentral.
UGCAGAAUCCCGUGAAUCAUCGAGUUUUUGAACGCAAGUUGCGCCCGAUGCCAUUCGGCGGAGGGCACGCCUGCCUGGGCGUCACGU